AGCAAUACACGAGUGGCGCACGGGUGAGUAACACGUGGAUAUCUGCCUUUUGGUUCGGGAUAACCCUGGGAAACUAGGGCUAAUACCGAAUGGUUCCUACGGGAUAAAGAUUUAUCGCCAAAAGAUGAGUCCGCGUCCGAUUAGCUAGUUGGUGAGGUAAUGGCUCACCAAGGCGACGAUCGGUAGCUGGUCUGAGAGGACGAUCAGCCACACUGGGACUGAGACACGGCCCAGACUCCUACGGGAGGCAGCAGUGGGGAAUAUUGGACAAUGGGGGCAACCCUGAUCCAGCCAUGCCGCGUGAGUGAUGAAGGCCUUCGGGUUGUAAAGCUCUUUUGGCGGGGACGAUGAUGACGGUACCCGCAGAAUAAGCCCCGGCUAACUUCGUGCCAGCAGCCGCGGUAAGACGAAGGGGGCUAGCGUUGUUCGGAAUUACUGGGCGUAAAGCGCGUGUAGGCGGUUAUUCAAGUCAGGUGUGAAAGCCUUGAGCUUAACUCAAGAAAUGCACUUGAUACUGGAUGACUAGAGGACCGGAGAGGAUAGUGGAAUUCCCAGUGUAGUGGUGAAAUACGUAGAGAUUGGGAAGAACACCAGUGGCGAAGGCGGCUAUCUGGACGGUUCU
This 622-nucleotide ribosomal RNA is filed under the name Reyranella graminifolii. Its description in RNAcentral is "bacterial SSU rRNA". It matches the Rfam family "Bacterial small subunit ribosomal RNA", at positions 83 to 740 of the family's 1533-position model. Lineage: Bacteria; Pseudomonadati; Pseudomonadota; Alphaproteobacteria; Hyphomicrobiales; Reyranellaceae. The record is from RNAcentral.